This 700-nucleotide ribosomal RNA is filed under the name Streptomyces sp. KLBMP 2060. RNAcentral describes it as "bacterial SSU rRNA". It matches the Rfam family "Bacterial small subunit ribosomal RNA", at positions 74 to 790 of the family's 1533-position model. The record is from RNAcentral. Lineage: Bacteria; Bacillati; Actinomycetota; Actinomycetes; Kitasatosporales; Streptomycetaceae.
AGCCCUUCGGGGUGGAUUAGUGGCGAACGGGUGAGUAACACGUGGGCAAUCUGCCCUUCACUCUGGGACAAGCCCUGGAAACGGGGUCUAAUACCGGAUAACACUCUGUCCCGCAUGGGACGGGGUUAAAAGCUCCGGCGGUGAAGGAUGAGCCCGCGGCCUAUCAGCUUGUUGGUGGGGUAAUGGCCUACCAAGGCGACGACGGGUAGCCGGCCUGAGAGGGCGACCGGCCACACUGGGACUGAGACACGGCCCAGACUCCUACGGGAGGCAGCAGUGGGGAAUAUUGCACAAUGGGCGAAAGCCUGAUGCAGCGACGCCGCGUGAGGGAUGACGGCCUUCGGGUUGUAAACCUCUUUCAGCAGGGAAGAAGCGAAAGUGACGGUACCUGCAGAAGAAGCGCCGGCUAACUACGUGCCAGCAGCCGCGGUAAUACGUAGGGCGCAAGCGUUGUCCGGAAUUAUUGGGCGUAAAGAGCUCGUAGGCGGCUUGUCACGUCGGAUGUGAAAGCCCGGGGCUUAACCCCGGGUCUGCAUUCGAUACGGGCUAGCUAGAGUGUGGUAGGGGAGAUCGGAAUUCCUGGUGUAGCGGUGAAAUGCGCAGAUAUCAGGAGGAACACCGGUGGCGAAGGCGGAUCUCUGGGCCAUUACUGACGCUGAGGAGCGAAAGCGUGGGGAGCGAACAGGAUUAGAUACCCUGG